RNAcentral lists this ribosomal RNA (245 nucleotides) under uncultured bacterium. RNAcentral describes it as "partial small subunit ribosomal RNA". It matches the Rfam family "Bacterial small subunit ribosomal RNA", at positions 26 to 285 of the family's 1533-position model. The record is from RNAcentral.
AGAAUCAACGCUGGCGGCGUGCCUAACACAUGCAAGUCGCACGAGAAAGGGGAGCAAUCCCUGAGUACAGUGGCGCGCGGGUGAGUAACACGUGAAUAAUCUACCUCCGAGUGGGGAAUAACUGAGAGAAAUCUUAGCUAAUACCGCAUAACACUUACGAGUCAAAGCAGCAAUGCGCUUGGAGAGGAGUUCGCGGCCGAUUAGUUAGUUGGCGGGGUAAUGGCCCACCAAGACGAUGAUCGGUA